Molecule: non-coding RNA, 29 nt
Filed under: Mus musculus (house mouse)
Lineage: Eukaryota; Metazoa; Chordata; Mammalia; Rodentia; Muridae
Source: RNAcentral
CCCAUCUGUAUACACUACGAUUCCUUCGG